RNAcentral lists this ribosomal RNA (209 nucleotides) under uncultured bacterium. RNAcentral's name for it is "partial 16S ribosomal RNA". It matches the Rfam family "Bacterial small subunit ribosomal RNA", at positions 524 to 733 of the family's 1533-position model. The record is from RNAcentral.
UACGUAGGGGGCAAGCGUUGUCCGGAUUUAUUGGGCGUAAAGCGCGUGUAGGCGGCCAGGUAGGUCGGUUGUGAAAAUUGGAGGCUCAACCUCCAGACGUCGAUCGAAACCAUCUGGCUAGAGUCCGGAAGAGGAGAAUGGAAUUCCUGGUGUAGCGGUGAAAUGCGCAGAUAUCAGGAGGAACACCAGUGGCGAAGGCAGGCUCUGGC